Molecule: transfer RNA, 73 nt
Filed under: Alligator mississippiensis (American alligator)
Lineage: Eukaryota; Metazoa; Chordata; Crocodylia; Alligatoridae
Rfam family: tRNA
About the family: Transfer RNA (tRNA) molecules are approximately 80 nucleotides in length. Their secondary structure includes four short double-helical elements and three loops (D, anti-codon, and T loops).
Source: Rfam by way of RNAcentral
GCCUAGCUAGCUGAGUUGGUAUGGCAUGAGAUUCUUAAUCUCAGACUUGUGGGUUUGAGUCCCAUGUUGGGCA